This 254-nucleotide ribosomal RNA is filed under the name uncultured prokaryote. RNAcentral's name for it is "partial 16S ribosomal RNA". It matches the Rfam family "Bacterial small subunit ribosomal RNA", at positions 525 to 777 of the family's 1533-position model. The record is from RNAcentral.
ACAGAGGGUGCAAGCGUUGCUCGGAAUCAUUGGGCGUAAAGGGUAGGUAGGUGGUCUUAUUUGUCUGGGGUGAAAGCCUUGAGCUUAACUCAAGAAGUGCCUCGGAAACGGUAAGACUUUGAGUCUCGGAGAGGGUCGUGGAAUUCCCGGUGUAGCGGUGAAAUGCGUAGAGAUCGGGAGGAACACCAGCGGCGAAGGCGGCGACCUGGACGAGCACUGACACUCAACUACGAAAGCGUGGGGAGCAAACAGGA